GUUCUCAAUUUAGCAGUACAUAUAUAUUAAAGUUAGAAAGCUAUAAAGAAAAUUAACAUGGUCACUGCACAAGGAUGAUAGGAAAGGUAUUCAAUUUAU
Molecule: small nuclear RNA, 99 nt
Filed under: Notamacropus eugenii (tammar wallaby)
Lineage: Eukaryota; Metazoa; Chordata; Mammalia; Diprotodontia; Macropodidae
Source: RNAcentral